UAAGUGAACAUAGUUUAU
Molecule: transfer RNA, 18 nt
Filed under: Uroplatus henkeli
Lineage: Eukaryota; Metazoa; Chordata; Lepidosauria; Squamata; Gekkonidae
Description: partial tRNA-His
Source: RNAcentral